Molecule: ribosomal RNA, 482 nt
Filed under: uncultured bacterium
Lineage: Bacteria
Description: partial 16S ribosomal RNA
Rfam family: Bacterial small subunit ribosomal RNA
Source: RNAcentral
GAUGAACGCUAGCGGCAGGCCUAAUACAUGCAAGUCGGACGGGAUUCAGGAGCUUGCUUCUGAUGAGAGUGGCGCACGGGUGCGUAACACGUAUGUAACCUACCUUUAUCAGUUUGAUAGCCUCUCGAAAGAGAGAUUAAGCCCGCAUAAAAUCACAGCACAGCAUUUUGUAAUGAUCAAAUAUUGAUAGUAUAAAGAUGGGCAUGCGGAACCUUGGCUAGAUGGCGUGGUAACGGCCCACCAUAGCGACGAUGUUUAGGGGAUCUGAGAGGAUGGCACACCACACCGGUAAUGCGACACGGACCAGAAUGCGAGGCGAGGCAGCAGUAAGGAAUAUUAGUCAAUGGGCGGAAGCCUGAACCAGCCACGCCGCGUGAAAAGAGACGGCCCUACGGGUUGUAAUCUGUUGUUAUACAGGAAUAAAACCAGAUACGUGUAUCUGGCUGAAUGUACUGUAAGAAUAAGGAUCGGCUAACUCCGUG